CAACAGUACGUGAAACCGCCUAGAGGUAAACGGGUGGAUCCGCAAAGUCGGCCCGCGGAAUUCAGCUCGGAAGGUCGCGCGCCCGUCGCCGGGUAGGAGAUCGCAAGACUCUCCUGGCGCGGGACGCGCGUCGGCCGUGUGCACUUUCCGCGGGCAGAGCGCCACGACCGGUUCUCGGGCGGUCAGAAGGCGGCGAGGAUGGUAGGCGUGCGCCUCGGCGCGCGCUGGUAUAGCCUCGCCUGUCCCGAUCCGCCUGGGGACCGAGGAGCCGCCGCCGGCUGGGGCCGCCUCGCCCUCCUGGGAUGUUCGACUGGCAGAGACUGGGCAACCGUGUCUGCCGACCGCUUCCUUGGACGGACUGGGGUGGGCCCGCUGGCACAGGGUCAGUGGCGAAUCGGUCGGCCCUCCACCCGACCCGUCUUGAAACACGGACCAAGGAGUCUAACAUGCGCGCGAGUCGUUGGGUCGUACGAAACCCGAAGGCGAAGUGAAAGCGAGGGCCGUCUCUGACGUGCUCAGGUGGGAUCUCGUGGCCUUUGGUCGUGGGCGCACCACCGGCCCGUCUCGUCCGCG
RNAcentral lists this ribosomal RNA (573 nucleotides) under Crassispira cerithina. RNAcentral's name for it is "Turridrupa cerithina partial 28S ribosomal RNA". The record is from RNAcentral. Lineage: Eukaryota; Metazoa; Mollusca; Gastropoda; Neogastropoda; Turridae.